CCAGGUGCCCCCAGGUGCGCCCAGGUGCCCCCAGGUGCGCCCAGGUGCGUCAGUCGCCGCCGUUGGCGCGGAUGGUGCGGCGGAUCCAGGCGGUGAAGGCGCACACCCGGCUGUACACACCUGGCUUGCCCUGCUGGCCGCACACCUGCAGCCCCCAGGAGACCACGCCCUGCAGGUACCCGUCACACACCAGCGGGCCCCCGGAGUCACCCUGCGGCGGGGGACAGGGGGACAGGUGAGAAAUGGGACAGGUGGGACAGGUGGGACAGGUGAGACAGGUGAGAUUGGUGGGACAGGUGGGACACAGGUGGGACAGGUGAGACAGGUGGGACACAGGUGGGACAGGUGAGACACAGGUGGGACACAGGUGGGACAGGUGAGACACAGGUGGGACACGGGUGGGACAGAUGAGAUGGGUGAGACACAGGUGGGACAGGUGAGACACAGGUGGGACAGGUGAGACACAGGUGAGAGAUAAGUGAGAAAGAUGGAACAGGUGAAAUAGGUG
This 508-nucleotide long non-coding RNA is filed under the name Junco hyemalis (dark-eyed junco). RNAcentral's name for it is "lncRNA (ENSJHYG00000001275.1)". The record is from RNAcentral. Lineage: Eukaryota; Metazoa; Chordata; Aves; Passeriformes; Passerellidae.